RNAcentral lists this transfer RNA (76 nucleotides) under Caudoviricetes sp. RNAcentral's name for it is "tRNA-Cys". It matches the Rfam family "tRNA". Rfam says of the family: Transfer RNA (tRNA) molecules are approximately 80 nucleotides in length. Their secondary structure includes four short double-helical elements and three loops (D, anti-codon, and T loops). The record is from RNAcentral. Lineage: Duplodnaviria; Heunggongvirae; Uroviricota; Caudoviricetes.
GACGCCUUGCCUGAAUUGGUUAAAGGAGCUGCCUGCAAAGCAGUUUUGUGUGGGUUCGAGUCCUACAGGCGUCUCA